RNAcentral lists this long non-coding RNA (329 nucleotides) under Homo sapiens (human). Its description in RNAcentral is "non-protein coding lnc-U2AF1L4-3:2". The record is from RNAcentral. Lineage: Eukaryota; Metazoa; Chordata; Mammalia; Primates; Hominidae.
AAAACUGCGGACUCAAUGACCACGGCGAUUUCGUAACGCCCCCGUUCCGAAAGUGUUCUUCUGGGCAGUGCAACCCCGACGGCGCGGAGCUAUGUAGCCCCUGCGGCGGCGGAGCCGUGACCCCUACUCCCGCCGCGGGCGGGGGCAGAACCCCGUGGCGCUGCAGAGAGGCGCCCUGGAGACAGGGGACACAUGGAAGGAGGCCUCACUACUUCCACUCCUGAGCAGGGAACUGUCCAGUCUGGCGUCACAACCCCUGUCUCGCCUCCUGGAUGAGCUGGAGGUGCUGGAAGAGCUGAUUGUACUGCUGGACCCUGAGCCUGGGCCAG